Molecule: long non-coding RNA, 371 nt
Filed under: Physcomitrium patens
Lineage: Eukaryota; Viridiplantae; Streptophyta; Bryopsida; Funariales; Funariaceae
Description: long non-coding RNA (PPAT_LNC009664)
Source: RNAcentral
GUAUUGUUUAAAUUACACCAAAACGAAAUCUUCAAAUCAACACAAUGAGAGCCGGGAAUAUGCUAAUAUUUUUACGACAUUAAACACGUUUAGUUGUUACGGAAAGACUUAUCUGUUUUUAAUUGCACUCUAGAGACGGUGAAAUAAAACAACUCCUUGAUGAUUAGGGGCCAGAAUUCGAAGAUUAAUAUCAAAUUAUGUAAAAUAAUCGAUUGGGCAGAUUCAGCACCAGACAGUUGCACGCAGUCUGAUAAAAACACAGGAGUAGGCAUUCUGAAAAUCAGUCAGACAAUAACCGCCCAACGAGGAACAUUAAUAAUUUACACACAAAGCUUGUUGUGCAAAGAUAGACGCACUAUGCUAACGAAAAU